GCUUACCGUUUUAAAGGGUUUUGAGGGUCCAUUGAAACCGUACCCUUGGAGCAAACACAAAAGGAAUCUGUGCAUGGGCAAUGGUACUAGUAAUGACUAAAUACUAAUUUUGGAGAACUGACUGCUCCAUGAAGUCAUUCCUGUCUCAGGCCUAUAGUGGUAUUGAUACUACAGAGGCAUCAUUCAGAAUCUGGCCACUGAAGCAAAAACCUCAUUCACUCAGGUGGAUGGAUCAGUGAGCCCCUUACAAGCACCUCAACCCAGUAGACGACUUGACAAGGCUGAUGGGCGGAGAAAGGGUUCUUUCUUUCCUCCACAUUUGUGAGCAUAUUACAUUGCAUGACCAAGCGAAUAUACAUAUUCCUCUGGUUGAAACAAGAAGGGAGGGAGUCAAUUACAAAGAUGAAUCAGGAAAAAAAAAAGAAAGAAAAAUGAGAAAGAGAAAAGAAAGGAACGGAAAAGAAGGGAUAAGCCAGUACAUUUCUCCUGACACUGACUCACUUGUUCUUAUACAAUAGUGGAAUGAGGUCAGUCUGGUAAAAUUAGCCAUCCGCUUCAUGGCAGGACUGAAUGCCAGGCCAGUGAGAGGGGACGGAGAGUCUCCAUUUGAGAAACCAGAGAAAUAAAGAAACUACAUUUUUUUUUGACAGAGAGUGAGAUGAAGUAUUGGGAAGAGAGGAGAAGAAGGUCAUUUGCUAAAAGCCCAGAACUCCUACUCUGCGUAAGGUUUCCCAAAGACUCCCCUCAUCUGUCAUUGGCUGGAAAAAAAAAAAAACAGCCCGAACUCACACCAUUGGUUGAGCUGCUGUUGCUGUGGUCAGGCUAGUUGGGAUAGUCGGGAUGUUAAAACAAACAUAGCAAUGUUUUCAUUACACCACAGAGCCGGUGUUUACACUUUUCAAGGGACUUACAAACUUAGAGUUGUCUCUGCAUAUUAAGCUGGCGAACGUUUUUAAUGGUGAAAAAACUGCACGCGUAAUCAUUAAGAAAACAAUCGCCUGAAGUUUUAUUCAUCUAUAAAUUCGAAGGUGGACGUAAGAGUGAGAGACAGAGAGGCAGGGAAGUGACAGAAGGAGAGUAGGAGAGGGAAGAAAAAGAGGAAGAGGCAUUGGGUUUCCACUGACUGUAUGUCUGGGCAGCUCCAUAUGGUCCUCAUUAAGGUGCUCACUCUGUGGGAGCAGCUCCACACCGCGCUGCUUGUUUUUCUUAUUAGGCCCAUCACAUUUUGGUAUGGAGGGCACUGGAAUAUUGGGCCACUGACAGGUCCUGCUCAGUUGUUAUCAUUAACUAAGACUAGAUUGUAUUAUUCUAUGUACUUGCCAAAAUAUCAAAAGGUUUGAUUGGACACAGCUUUUGAAGCCUCUUAAAAAUACGAACGCAUGAUGCGUUUUACAUUUUUCCACAGCUGUGCAAACCAUGUUGAAAGUGGAGUCUAGUGUCCUUCAACUGUGCAACUGUGAGAAAUGAGGCCUAAAAAUGUGUUUACCCACACUGUUAGGCUAAAACUAAACUUUUUUCAGUAGUGCAUUUGAGUCACAGAGGAGAGAUUUGCUGCACUGGUGAUAGAGUCUCAGAGCAAUUACCAUAGAUAACAGGGACAGAAGUGUGUGCCUGUAAGAGGCUGCCACUGAUACCAUCUCUGCUCAAGGAUCCCACUUAACUGGCUUGAUUGAUGCCCAACCGAGCCCUAGGGGGUCCGGAAAGAUAAGUUCUAUGUGGGCCCUAAGUGGAUUGCUUUCUACCUGAGAGCUGUUGUGUAUUAAUUUGUAAUGAUUGCACUUGAAGUACAUUGGAAAAGUAGUUGCAUUUGAAAAGAGUUUCUGUGCACUGACAUUGUUGGGUUCAGACUGAAAAUAGUAAGCAUUUGCACCUAAUUUUUGGUGCUGCGCUGUCAAACACCAAUCCUUUUUUUCUUCUCACUCCCCCUUAAAGCUGUUUCCUUCUGCUCAAGAGAUGCUGUUGACAUAGUGUCAAGCUCAGUUCUUUUUAAAAAGAUAAACACACAAGUAACCUUAGAGUCAGGGUCAUAAGGUCUUCUCAGUUUGGUGAAGAAAGAUAGAGGAAGUAAACAAAGGCAGAAUGAGGAGAAGCUUUAGAUCUCGUCUCUAAGAAAGGCUGAGCUUAAGCGAAGGCAAUCUGUGGGAUCAACUCUGAGCUGCUUCCAUCCAUACCUGACAAUAGGUGAAUCCAAAACACUUUGUUGUUGAACUUUAGGUUUCCGAUUAACAGCCAUAUACAUACAACAUAAAACAUUUCAAGCCAUAUCAGUGGGGUCCAAAACAACACCGAAAACACUGAGACCGUUUUCAAGAUAUAUUUUCUGUGUACCACAGAAGAAAGAAGGCCAGACUGGUUUGGAACAACAUUUUUUUGGCUGCCAGAUUCGGAGAUCCUUUGAAAUGUUCAGCGGUGUCACAGUGCUGCGUUCAUCUCCCAAGUUCUCAAUUAAAACCCACUGCUCACAAAGCUGAGAAGAACAGAGGAAUGCUCAAUGUGAGACAUCUGCGAACAACUCAUCGACGAGGCGCGACCCCCAACCCAAAACGUGUGAGAGAGUGGAGAGCAUCUUCUUUCUUCUCAAGGGCACCCUAGGGAGGCAGCAAGCACGGUCCGCUGCUGCUUAAAGACUUGGCCGUGGUGCCAAAGACACAUCUGGUCCGUUUGAGCCGUGCAGAUGCUACUUGGAACCAUCUCCAUCUCAACAAACUGUCUGAAAGAAUACGGCACAUGUAAUAAUGAGCUCUUUUUCUUCAAAUGGUCUCAUCGUCAGAGCAUUUGGACUGAGAUGAGGCGGUUUCAACAGGAAUAUAAUCUGGAACGAAUUGAGCAAAUUAUAACUCUGACUGGUAAAUCUCAAAUUCCCAGUGUCUUUUCAUGUAAACUGGCUGAAAUACUGUGAAAGGCCAAAGUUCUCAGCAAAUACAUGGCAAAAAUCCAAUAUAUGUCUAGUGACAAAUUAACGGGCCAUUAUAAGCCAUUGUGUUGCCUGAUGUACAUGCUAGGUAAAAAAUGCAUGAAUUUCCAUGCUAGCCAGAGCUAAUCUAUUUUGGUUAAAGGCCUACGGUAUGUGUCUGUCUGUGUCACAUCUAGAUCGAUCUAUCUAUCUAUCUAGAAGGGGCGCGUCCCAUAAUGCAAUGCUUUUUGAUAACCGCCACAACAUGAAUAAGAGCAGAACAAGAUGAGACAUAUAUCACAGAUGUUUACCAGGGGGCACAUUACAGAAAGAUACUAACUUUACAAUCCGAUCUUAUCUGUUUGGUAAUCAUGGCAAUUUCAGUUAAGACCUAAUUUAGGACAAAUCUAUACGACAAUUCACGAUGACGUCACUACAGUAAUAGACGUUCUUCCGGGUGGCAAAACCCGAAGCAUUCCUAUGGCAACGCUAGUAAAUUGCUUGGAAGGGAGA
Molecule: non-coding RNA, 3406 nt
Organism: Pimephales promelas (fathead minnow)
Lineage: Eukaryota; Metazoa; Chordata; Actinopteri; Cypriniformes; Leuciscidae
Source: RefSeq, a predicted model, not a curated record